Long non-coding RNA from Poecilia latipinna (sailfin molly), 293 nucleotides. RefSeq lists it as uncharacterized. The transcript has 2 exons. The record is from RefSeq and is a predicted model, not a curated record. Lineage: Eukaryota; Metazoa; Chordata; Actinopteri; Cyprinodontiformes; Poeciliidae.
UUGGGCGUCUGUCUCUUUAAAAACUCCUGGUAUUUCUGAGACAGGAAGUCAUAACAACAUGGCUCCCCUAUUAACCCUUUAGCAACGUUUUUACCAGCGUUGCAUUGAGAAAUAGCUCACAUAAUGAGCUUAGACUGUUAUUCCAUGAGGUGUUUGCUAAUUGCUGCUGGCUAGUCUGAAGGAGCUGAGUGGGGGAGGAGCUGCGUCUGGAAGGCGGGGCUUGGUUCACCCAAGCGUUUUGCACAGCUGAACGGUUGCCAUGGAGAUUAAAGGAUUUCUCAAACAUGCAUGAA